AUAUCAAUAAGCGGAGGAAAAGAAACCAACAGGGAUUGCCCCAGUAACGGCGAGUGAAGCGGCAACAGCUCAAAUUUGAAAUCUGGCCCCCAGGGCCCGAGUUGUAAUUUGCAGAGGAUGCUUUUGGCGCGGCGCCUUCCGAGUUCCCUGGAACGGGACGCCAUAGAGGGUGAGAGCCCCGUCUGGUCGGACGCCAAGCCAGUGUAAAGCUCCUUCGACGAGUCGAGUAGUUUGGGAAUGCUGCUCUAAAUGGGAGGUAUAUGUCUUCUAAAGCUAAAUAUUGGCCAGAGACCGAUAGCGCACAAGUAGAGUGAUCGAAAGAUGAAAAGCACUUUGAAAAGAGGGUUAAACAGUAC
Molecule: ribosomal RNA, 356 nt
Filed under: uncultured fungus
Lineage: Eukaryota; Fungi
Description: eukaryotic LSU rRNA
Rfam family: Eukaryotic large subunit ribosomal RNA
Source: RNAcentral